Poecile atricapillus (Black-capped chickadee) is the source of this 1387-nucleotide long non-coding RNA. RefSeq lists it as uncharacterized. The record is from RefSeq and is a predicted model, not a curated record. Lineage: Eukaryota; Metazoa; Chordata; Aves; Passeriformes; Paridae. The transcript has 6 exons.
AACAAUGAAAAUCCAUUUAAUCCUGAGCUGUCACAGGGGCUGGAAAUAAAACACCCUUGCUGUUGUUCAGUGGACUUCCUCUCACUCUCACGGUUUUCUAGUGGAAGGCUGUUAUCCCACCAAGGUGUUUGCAGGAGGUUGGGAUCGGUGGAAAGGCAGCCAAGGGGAAGAGGACUAUUGGAGUGAGAAUCAGCUGGAUAUGUCCAUUUGAGCACCUGUGAGGUUUUUUUUUUCACAUGGAGAAUUGUUCUCUGCUGGGGAGAAAUGACAGAGUCACCCAGAGAUUUAAGGAUGAUUCUGUUGCUCACUCCAUCUCUCCGGGUGAUGCUGUAAACAGGAAGUCACAGAGAAGAAAAAGAUGUUUUCUGUCAUCUGUGCUGGGGGAACACAAAGUGGGAUUCCCUGCAACAUACCAUAGGCUACCAGGAGGUUCCAGACUUGAGAUUCCAGAUCCAGGCUGUAGUUUAACAAGUCAGACCAUCACAAAUGUGUGUGUUUAUGAAGAUUUUUUUCAGGAGAUGCCAGCAAUAUAAAGAAGUUAUAUACUUCAAAAGGAAUUAAGUACCAACAGCAGCACUAACCAGUGAACCUGUCAUGAAGAAGGACAGACACACAAAGGACUGAUAUAGCUGCCUUUGGAAGUGGAAUUUACAUCUCUGACUCAGAAGUUAGGUUUUAUAUCACAAUGAUAUUCAGCAAAUGAUCAGAAAUUCUGAAGAACAAGGAGAGUCAGUUUAGGGGGCAAGGCAUAAACAUACUGGAGCUAAGCUUUGGUUUGUGUGAAUAUGUGUGUGAUAACCAGCAUCUCUCAAAAAACAGGAUGCCCAGAGUUGUUGUAGCUGCCCCAUCCCUGGAACUGUUCAAGGCCAAGCUGGAGAUGGCUUUGAGAAAUCUGCUCUAAUGGAAAGUGUCCCCGCCCAUGCUAGGGGAGUUGAACUAAAUGAUCUUUAAGGUCUCUUCCAACACAAGCACUUGAUAAUUGUGGGCUUAGCUAAAUGGAUUAUGCCCUACAUAAUCCUGGCAUCCACCAACUGAAGUAUCUUCUUAUUUGGGAGGGUUCAUAUUUUUUUUUUCCUCAAGAUGGAAGGGAUGACAGAAAAAGGCAGUAACUGCAAUCAAUUUUUAAUUAAAUAUCUUCAAAUCUAUUCUGUCAGAUUCUUUUUCUCUGCAUGACAGCAUGACUGAGGUUGAGUCUGCUCAAGAACUGAUCUGCCAAAAUUCUGAAGGAUCCAAAAUUAAAGUUACAAUAUUUCUUAAGCAAGGGUAUAGAUAUGCUGCUUGAUUUCCUGUUUUCUUUUCCCAUCAAAAUCUACUCUUUGUUUAAAAAAGCCUACCUAAAGUUCCUUAAAUUUUGACAAGCCUUGAAAUAUGCACACACAGAAGUGGU